RNA transcript from Nomascus leucogenys (northern white-cheeked gibbon), 468 nucleotides. It is a transcript of the gene named 40S ribosomal protein S23 pseudogene, with no coding region annotated. The transcript has a single exon. The record is from RefSeq and is a predicted model, not a curated record. NCBI's taxonomy places the organism in Eukaryota, Metazoa, Chordata, Mammalia, Primates, Hylobatidae.
GCUGCUUCUCUCUUUUGCUCAGGCCCGUAGCGCUGGCAGGAUGGGCGAGUGUCGUGGACUUCGUACUGCUAGGAGGCUCUGUAGUCACCGACAAGAUCAGAAGUGGCAUGAUAAACAGUACAAGAAAGCCCAUUUGGGCACAGCCCUGAAGGCCAACCCUUUUGGAGGUGCUUCUCACGCAAAACGAAUUGUGCUGGAAAAAGUAGGAGUUGAAGCCAAAAAGCCAAAUUCUGCCAUUAGGAAGAGUGUCAGGAUCCAGUGGAUCAAGGAUGGCAAGAAAAUCACAGCCUUUAUACUCAGUGAUGGUUGCUUGAAACUUAUUGAGGAAAACCAUAAAGUUCUGGUUGCUGGAUUUGGUCAAAAAGGUCAUGCUGUUGGUGAUAUUUCUAGAGUUCGCUUUCAGGUUGUCAAAGCAGCCUAUGUUUUUUGGCCCUACACAAAGGCAAGAAGGAAAGACCAAGAUCAUAA